GCUCCUUUGGCUCAGCUGGUAGAGCGUCAGUCUCAUAAUCUGAAGGUCGCCAGUUCGAGCCUGGCAGGGAGCA
RNAcentral lists this transfer RNA (73 nucleotides) under Phytophthora infestans (potato late blight agent). RNAcentral describes it as "tRNA-Met". It matches the Rfam family "tRNA". Rfam says of the family: Transfer RNA (tRNA) molecules are approximately 80 nucleotides in length. The record is from RNAcentral. RNAcentral also lists the same sequence under 2 other names. Lineage: Eukaryota; Oomycota; Peronosporomycetes; Peronosporales; Peronosporaceae.